CCUACGGGAGGCAGCAGUGGGGAAUAUUGGACAAUGGGGGCAACCCUGAUCCAGCAAUUCUGUGUGCACGAAGACGGUUUUCGGAUUGUAAAGUGCUUUCAGCAGGGAAGAAGUAAGUGACGGUACCUGCAGAAGAAGCGACGGCUAAAUACGUGCCAGCAGCCGCGGUAAUACGUAUGUCGCGAGCGUUAUCCGGAAUUAUUGGGCAUAAAGGGCAUCUAGGCGGCCUUCCAAGUCAGGGGUGAAAACCUGCGGCUCAACCGCAGGCCUGCCUUUGAAACUGAUAGGCUGGAGUACCGGAGAGGUGGACGGAACUGCACGAGUAGAGGUGAAAUUCGUAGAUAUGUGCAGGAAUGCCGAUGAUGAAGAUAGUUCACUGGACGGUAACUGACGCUGAAGUGCGAAAGCCGGGGGAGCGAACAGGAUUAGAUACCCGAGUAGUC
Molecule: ribosomal RNA, 443 nt
Filed under: uncultured Leptotrichia sp.
Lineage: Bacteria; Fusobacteriati; Fusobacteriota; Fusobacteriia; Fusobacteriales; Leptotrichiaceae
Description: bacterial SSU rRNA
Rfam family: Bacterial small subunit ribosomal RNA
Source: RNAcentral